This 1647-nucleotide long non-coding RNA is filed under the name Marmota monax (woodchuck). Lineage: Eukaryota; Metazoa; Chordata; Mammalia; Rodentia; Sciuridae. The record is from RNAcentral.
GGUAACCUCCCCUCCUUUCCUGACACGCACAGGCUCCUAGGGGCCAAGCAACUUGCUGGACCCCUCUUCUAGGGAGGUUAGAGGGAAGGCUCGACCUUGGACAGCUGUCUCCAGAGUCUUGCUCCUGUCUAUGAUGCUGGGGACUGGCUUAGAAGGAGAGAUCAUAGAGCAAUGGGGAAUGCACCUAAAUGUACACAAGGAAAGAAAGUAGGACAGCGAGGGCCGAGAAGAGCCCAGGCUGCUGAAUCUCAGUACAAAUGCAAAAGUCCAAGUUCAGUUUCAAGUGCACUCUGUUAGCACCCCAGGACACAAUGUGCAUGAGGUUCCACGUGGGGUGGGUGUCCUCUAGUAGCAGUCCUCCUUUUAAAAUGUUUUAUUAGUGUAUUGUAGUUUUAUAGUAUUGGGGUUCAUUUUGACAUUAUGGCAUGCAUGAAAUAUAAUCUGCUUCAUUUCAGUCCCCAGUCCUUCCUCUUUCCUUCCCCCUGUCCUCUUCCUCUACUCUACUGGGCUCCCUUCUUUUUAUUUGUAGUAUUUUUAAAUUGGUGCUUUACAGUUAAACAUAAAGGUGAAGUUUGUUGGUAUAUUAUUAUAUGUUCAUAGCAUAAUCUGGUGAAUUUCAUUCCACAGUUAAAUAAUGGACUUCUAAGCAACACUUUGCUCAGAGUACUGGUUGACUUGUCAUGUCCUGAAUGUGAGAGCAUGGCUCCAUGACAAGAGGAUUAUCACAACUUGCACAUCUUAAUGGAGUUCCUAAACAAGAAAACAGUAAUAAAAUGUAGGGGUUUCUUUAAUAUCUCUCUCUCUCUCUCUCUCUCUCUCUCUCUCUCUCUCUCUCUCUCACACACACACACACACACACACACACACCAUAAAUGUUUUCUGACUUUCCUUUAUAAGGAACUAAAAUUAAUAUCUGUGUACAGCUCUAGAGUUUUAAUUGGUACGAACACAAGUCUUGUUAACCAUACUUUUGACAAGGUGACCCUAUCAGAAAGAUGAAGUUCAAGGGAAAAAUGAAGUUUUCAGGCUUAUUUUGGGGGAAAAAAAAAGCUUCACAACAGGCAUUGAGGUGUAGUUGCAAAGAAUCUUCUUGCUGAGUCAAGGCCUGACUCAUCUAACUGGCUUGAGUGACUUCUUGAGUGGCUUCGGCGAUAUUUCGGAACUUCUCUGGGCUUUGUUUCCUUUUCUGGGAACCUAAAGACAAUAAUGGGGGUUCCUGAACUGUUUUUCAAUACUUGGGAGUCCUAAAAAUCUUUUUUGUGGCCAAACAAGCUGUGUGACUUUUAGCAAGCUACCUCUCUGUUCCUCAUUUUCUGUAUCAGAAAGGGGGAAUGAUAAGGGUACCUGAUCUGUGGUUGUCUCGUGAGGGUUAAAUGACAACAUGGAUGCAGCACUGACAGCAGGGCCUGCUCCCUGGAAACUAUUGAGCAAUCUAUCUUAGCUAUUGUUUUUACCAUUGUGAUCAUCGUCAUUAUGAUGGUGAAAUGGAAAAGCUGCGGUACACAUUUGAAACAAAUUAAUUGUUACCUAAUACAUGUGGUUUGGUGAUUAAAAUGUUUCAAAACAAAAGGCUCUUUGAGGGGGGCAUUUAAAACCAGCAUUGAAAAUCUGGGAACUGCAUCUCCAGGGCAUACAGGAGUUAGCAGC